GUCCUACGGGGGGCAGCAGUGAGGAAUAUUGGUCAAUGGGCGGAAGCCUGAACCAGCCAAGUCGCGUGAGGGAAUAAGGCCCUACGGGUCGUAAACCUCUUUUGCCGGGGAGCAAGGGCCGGGACGAGUCCCGGUCCGGAGAGUACCCGGAGAAAAAGCAUCGGCUAACUCCGUGCCAGCAGCCGCGGUAAUACGGAGGAUGCGAGCGUUAUCCGGAUUUAUUGGGUUUAAAGGGUGCGUAGGCGGUCCGGAAAGUCAGCGGUAAAAGCCCGGGGCUCAACCCCGGCGAGCCGUUGAAACUGUCG
This 305-nucleotide ribosomal RNA is filed under the name uncultured bacterium. Its description in RNAcentral is "bacterial SSU rRNA". It matches the Rfam family "Bacterial small subunit ribosomal RNA", at positions 335 to 638 of the family's 1533-position model. The record is from RNAcentral.